UACGGAGGAUCCGAGCGUUAUCCGGAAUCAUUGGGUUUAAAGGGUCCGUAGGCGGUCUUAUAAGUCAGUGGUGAAAGCCCAUCGCUCAACGAUGGAACUGCCAUUGAUACUGUAAGACUUGAAUGCUUAGGAAGUAACUAGAAUAUGUAGUGUAGCGGUGAAAUGCUUAGAUAUUACAUGGAAUACCAAUUGCGAAGGCAGGUUACUACUAAGUGAUUGACGCUGAUGGACGAAAGCGUGGGGAGCGAACAGGAUUAGAUACCCUAGUAGU
Molecule: ribosomal RNA, 271 nt
Filed under: uncultured archaeon
Lineage: Archaea
Description: partial 16S ribosomal RNA
Rfam family: Bacterial small subunit ribosomal RNA
Source: RNAcentral